UACAGAGGGUGCAAGCGUUGUUCGGAAUUAUUGGGCGUAAAGCGCGUGUAGGCGGCUUUGCAAGUCGGGUGUGAAAGCCCUCAGCUUAACUGAGGAAGUGCGCCCGAAACUGCAGAGCUUGAGUACCGGAGAGGAUGGUGGAAUUCCCCAAGUAGAGGUGAAAUUCGUAGAUAUGGGGAGGAACACCGGUGGCGAAGGCGACCAUCUGGACGGAUACUGACGCUGAGACGCGAAAGCGUGGGGAGCAAACAGG
RNAcentral lists this ribosomal RNA (253 nucleotides) under uncultured bacterium. RNAcentral's name for it is "partial 16S ribosomal RNA". It matches the Rfam family "Bacterial small subunit ribosomal RNA", at positions 524 to 776 of the family's 1533-position model. The record is from RNAcentral.